RNAcentral lists this ribosomal RNA (301 nucleotides) under uncultured bacterium. Its description in RNAcentral is "partial 16S ribosomal RNA". It matches the Rfam family "Bacterial small subunit ribosomal RNA", at positions 509 to 809 of the family's 1533-position model. The record is from RNAcentral.
CAGCAGCCGCGGGAAUACGUAGGUGGCAAGCGUUGUCCGGAAUUACUGGGCGUAAAGGGCGCGUAGGCGGCACGAUUAGUCAGGCGUGAAAUUCCUGGGCUCAACCUGGGGACUGCGCUUGAUACGGUCGAGCUAGAGGAUGGAAGAGGGUCGUGGAAUUCCCAGUGUAGAGGUGAAAUUCGUAGAUAUUCGGAAGAACACCAGUGGCGAAGGCGGCCCGCUGGACAUGUAUUGACGCUGAGGUGCGAAAGCGUGGGGAGCAAACAGGAUUAGAUACCCGCGUAGUCCCUGUCUCUUAUAA